AGUUCUGGACUUUACAUUGCGCACGCACUAUUUCCUCUAGCCCUCCCCCACGCCUUUGGUCCGCUGGUGGGCUCUACGUCUUCCCCAAAGUGUGAGGCGCAGUUUAUUGUUGUGCAGGUACUCCGAUUGAGAAUGAGCCCUGGAAUAAGAAAGGCACCCCGGGCUCUUGUCCUGACCCGCCUAGUGACCGUAGCCUUGUCAUUACUCUCUCCUAAGGGGUUUCCUCACAUGAAACAGAAAGUGAGAUUUCUAAACCAAAAACGUUUAUUGGAGACCGCGGUGGGUCCAGCAGCCUUGCUGCCAUCCCGCCCCCGGGAACCGGGAGUCUUGUGUCCGCUCCCCUGAUGAGGGUCACCUCUUCCGGCUUGGCUCCCUCUGCUCUCUCGCCCCUUCCCCUGAGGACUUCUCGGGCUCGGACCCUAAGCCCCGGGUGGCGAGAGCCUGGUGAUAUUCAGUUCCAGGUAGCUGCUGAAACAGAAGGCUGAGGAAAGCUUUCAUAUACUGACUGCCACUGCCAAAUACAACUUCAGCACCAAGAUAAGAGUUAACCCAUAUGGACUCGGACUGUCUGAGCAAAGAGCAUCGGAGAAUAAGAUCGCCCAUCCUUGGGCACAGUGGCACAGAAAUUCUCCUCGUCGCUGGAUGGCCAGCAUCAGAGAGACACAAUGUGGAAAAGAAUAGGUCAAACAAAGGACAUGUAUACUGUGGUUCAGAAAAGGUCUCCUAUUACCUAUAAGCCACGAUUGUAAAUGUAAUAUAGGAAGACUACAUGCAACUCUCUGGAUGAAAAGCCUAGUGAGUUUUUUCCUACAGUUUUAAAAAUUAUAUUUAUUUUUCUUAUAAAUCUAGAGCCUCUCAAAUUUAACUCUAUGGUGGGCAAAUGAUUUAUUACCCUUAAGAUUUCUCCACACAUUGCAUCAUACAAAAUCUCAUUGGGGUAAAGUUCAAAUUUUCAAAACAUGCUUUUAAAGAAAUUACAAAUACAUCAUUACAUUCCUGUUUCCACAAAAUUACCAUUCUUCCACCCCACAACCAAUACCACAUUAAAAAAAAAAUCAUAUCAGCCUUCUCUCUGAUCUGAAAAGAUCUACUUUCAUGUACC
Monodelphis domestica (gray short-tailed opossum) is the source of this 1102-nucleotide long non-coding RNA. RefSeq lists it as uncharacterized. NCBI's taxonomy places the organism in Eukaryota, Metazoa, Chordata, Mammalia, Didelphimorphia, Didelphidae. The record is from RefSeq and is a predicted model, not a curated record.